UAAUGGGUCAGCGACUUAUAUUCUGUAGCAAGGUUAACCGUAUAGGGGAGCCGAAGGGAAACCGAGUCUUAACUGGGCGUUAAGUUGCAGGGUAUAGACCCGAAACCCGGUGAUCUAGCCAUGGGCAGGUUGAAGGUUGGGUAACACUAACUGGAGGACCGAACCGACUAAUGUUGAAAAAUUAGCGGAUGACUUGUGGCUGGGGGUGAAAGGCCAAUCAAACCGGGAGAUAGCUGGUUCUCCCCGAAAGCUAUUUAGGUAGCGCCUCGUGAACUCAUCUUCGGGGGUAGAGCACUGUUUCGGCUAGGGGGUCAUCCCGACUUACCAACCCGAUGCAAACUGCGAAUACCGAAGAAUGUUAUCACGGGAGACACACGGCGGGUGCUAACGUCCGUCGUGAAGAGGGAAACAACCCAGACCGCCAGCUAAGGUCCCAAAGUCAUGGUUAAGUGGGAAACGAUGUGGGAAGGCACAGACAGCCAGGAUGUUGGCUUAGAAGCAGCCAUCAUUUAAAGAAAGCGUAAUAGCUCACUGGUCGAGUCGGCCUGCGCGGAAGAUGUAACGGGGCUAAACCAUGCACCGAAGCUGCGGCAGCGACACUAUGUGUUGUUGGGUAGGGGAGCG
Molecule: ribosomal RNA, 624 nt
Filed under: Citrobacter freundii
Lineage: Bacteria; Pseudomonadati; Pseudomonadota; Gammaproteobacteria; Enterobacterales; Enterobacteriaceae
Also listed under: 1 other name
Description: partial 23S ribosomal RNA
Rfam family: Bacterial large subunit ribosomal RNA
Source: RNAcentral